RNAcentral lists this ribosomal RNA (843 nucleotides) under Triticum aestivum (bread wheat). RNAcentral's name for it is "partial small subunit ribosomal RNA". The record is from RNAcentral. Lineage: Eukaryota; Viridiplantae; Streptophyta; Magnoliopsida; Poales; Poaceae.
AUGGGUCCCCGUUGCCAUCUUGAAUCACGCCGCCGUUCAUUUCCCCAAUCCCCUCUCCCCCCUGCGAGUUUUCCCAUCUCCGCGACCCACGAGCGCCGCCGCCCCCCACUGCUCCGCCAUCACCUGGUCUUGCGCGCCGGUUCGCUCGACGGGCUCCUCGCGGACGGGACGAGCUGCGGCGGCGGCAGGAGGGCCGGAGACCAUCGGUGUCGUCCGCAAAUCAAUUUCAGCGCCCGCCACCUGUUCGACGAAAUGGACAAGAAGGCUACCUGCACCCGCGAGGAUCCCUUCCGCGUCCUCCCCGACGACGUGCUCGACCACAUCCUGUCCUUUCUGCUGGGGGAUGAUGCCAUGCAGACCUGCGUGCUCAACACCCAGUGGCGCGACCUCUGGAGGCGCAAAACCAGCCUGCGCUUCAUCCUUGACGAAUGGUCAAGUUACAGCACCCAGCGUUUCAAUCAGUUGGUGAAGCUGAUAAUCCACCUCAGGGGGGACUCACCUCUGACCGACUGCCAGAUCAAUCCCUGUGGUGAUGUGGGCCAUUGCGAUUUCUCACAAACCAAGCUGUUGAUUGAGUACGUUCUAAAGUGCCGGGUUGAGGAUCUCUUAGUUUGCGCCGGUGAAUAUGUUCAUGAUCCAUUGCUGCUUGAAGCACGUCUCAUCUCCCUACACUUGAGGACCAUAGAAUUUGGAAACGUUGAUCUCGUAGAUUCCUCACUAGAUUUCUCGGGCUGCCCAGUAUUACAGGAGCUAAGAUUCCUCACUAGAUUUCUCGGGCUGCCCAGUAUUACAGGAGCUAACAAUAGAAAGUUGCUGCGUUGGCACAAGGAAGAUAUGUUCUAA